Molecule: ribosomal RNA, 309 nt
Filed under: uncultured fungus
Lineage: Eukaryota; Fungi
Description: SSU rRNA
Rfam family: Eukaryotic small subunit ribosomal RNA
Source: RNAcentral
AAAGAUUAAGCCAUGCAUGUCUAAGUAUAAGCAAUUAUACAGCGAAACUGCGAAUGGCUCAUUAUAUAAGUUAUCGUUUAUUUGAUAGUACCUUACUACUUGGAUAACCGUGGUAAUUCUAGAGCUAAUACAUGCUAAAAAUCCCGACUUCGGAAGGGAUGUAUUUAUUAGAUUAAAAACCAAUGCCCCCCGGGGCUCACUGGUGAUUCAUGAUAACUCCUCGAAUCGCAUGGCCUUGCGCCGGCGAUGGUUCAUUCAAAUUUCUUCCCUAUCAACUUUCGAUGUUUGGGUAUUGGCCAAACAUGGUUG